GUAUAUUGCACCCAGUUAGCAAAAUGAUCUACAUUCGGAACAAACUCUUGGAGACAGUAGAUAAAUGCAAAUGUCCCCCAGCACCAGAGGCGAUCCUUUCUAUGGAGAAACACCAUAUACGUACAUAAUUUUGUGCCUGGAUUCUGGAAACGACCAAGGAUAAGCAACUCAAGUGAAAGACUGCCUUGGGAUGAUACAAUCAAUCCAACUGUUACCUUUAGGAUGCUUUUUGGAUGGACUAAUCUGAAGAUGCUGGCUAGCUUACACCGCCAUCAUACAGUCUAGAAGU
Molecule: long non-coding RNA, 289 nt
Organism: Triticum dicoccoides
Lineage: Eukaryota; Viridiplantae; Streptophyta; Magnoliopsida; Poales; Poaceae
Exons: 3
Source: RefSeq, a predicted model, not a curated record